UAAGUCAGCCACGAAUAGGCUAUCCCAACUAACGGCGGGAAAGACUCCACGGAGGGUGUAAGACCCGUGUGGGCGCGUGUCAAAGCUGUGCGGGCUCGGCCUCUAUUCCCUGAGAGUCGCGUUGCUUGAGCAUGCAGCGCUAAGCAGGUCGUAAACUCGAUCUAAGGCUAAAUAUCUCCACAGAACCGAUAGCGAACAAGUACCGUGAGGGAAAGUUGAAAAGCACUCUGGAGAGAGAGUCAAAAGACCGUGAAACCGCUCAGAGUAUAAGCCCAUGGCAGCUUGGAAGGCAUAUCGCUAGCGGGGCAUCGGUCUUCCUUCGCGGGGAGCUGGUGUUACCUUGCUUCUGUUGUGGCUCGUCAUGGUAGGGGGGUCAAGUCCACAUCCCGCCGUCGUGUGGGGGGUUCUUGGGCGUGUUGUUGCUUUUCGGUUGGUUUCGGCUGCCGGAGGGCGCUUCGUGCUCGGUUCCUCUUCUUAGACACGGACGUUCAGACUCAGAGGCAAGACGCGAUAAACAGCCCACCACGGCACGUUGUGAGGUCACCCACAGGCUCGACUUUCGAUCGCGAUCCUUGACGCCGAGCAAGCACAAUGCGUGUCGCUUAUGUUCCUAACCAGGCAACGCUGCCAGGACCGUGGAACGACACGCGCUCAACAGUCAGGUUCGGGCGGAGACAGAGUUCUGGUACGAUCCUCUUGCGACGAGCCGGCUUCUGGCCAACAUCCGAUGCUCAGGUCUCCCGCAUGUGCCGCGGGAGAUCGCUUUGACGGUCUGGA
RNAcentral lists this ribosomal RNA (777 nucleotides) under Gammarus sp. Gsp11. RNAcentral describes it as "eukaryotic LSU rRNA". It matches the Rfam family "Eukaryotic large subunit ribosomal RNA", at positions 157 to 623 of the family's 3401-position model. Lineage: Eukaryota; Metazoa; Arthropoda; Malacostraca; Amphipoda; Gammaridae. The record is from RNAcentral.